Drosophila biarmipes is the source of this 368-nucleotide long non-coding RNA. RefSeq lists it as uncharacterized. The transcript is spliced from 2 exons. NCBI's taxonomy places the organism in Eukaryota, Metazoa, Arthropoda, Insecta, Diptera, Drosophilidae. The record is from RefSeq and is a predicted model, not a curated record.
AAGGAAGCCGUCAUCACUUAUAGCUAUCAACUGAAGGUCUUCCCUUUUAACAUUGGGAACGUCCAUGUUAUGAGUAGAUGGGCAAAUAUCUUCAUAUCUGUAAAGAUGAUAAACAAAUCAAGGUUUUAGUUAUGAGAACAAUGCAUUGAUAAUUUAUUGGAAGAAGAUAAGAUUAGCGGCGAAAACUUUUCGAUGAUAAUGUUCAAGAGCACCCAAGACGAGGCUACCUCUUUGUGUUGCUGCUGCGACAGAUGUUCGUAUACUCACUUCUUGUUGGAGAAAAUAUCAAUGCCAACCAUGUGAACCUUGGCGUGUCCGUGCUUUCCAGUCUUUGAAGUAGACAUCUCGACAAUCUUGCAUGGCCGGGA